GCACUGCUUCUCGAUUAGGUCGUUGACCA
This 29-nucleotide small RNA is filed under the name Bombyx mori (domestic silkworm). RNAcentral's name for it is "ovarian small RNA-16427". Lineage: Eukaryota; Metazoa; Arthropoda; Insecta; Lepidoptera; Bombycidae. The record is from RNAcentral.